Molecule: transfer RNA, 72 nt
Filed under: Candidatus Uhrbacteria bacterium
Lineage: Bacteria; Candidatus Uhriibacteriota
Description: tRNA-Gly
Rfam family: tRNA
About the family: Transfer RNA (tRNA) molecules are approximately 80 nucleotides in length. Their secondary structure includes four short double-helical elements and three loops (D, anti-codon, and T loops). Further hydrogen bonds mediate the characteristic L-shaped molecular structure. tRNAs have two regions of fundamental functional importance: the anti-codon, which is responsible for specific mRNA codon recognition, and the 3' end, to which the tRNAs corresponding amino acid is attached (by aminoacyl-tRNA synthetases). tRNAs cope with the degeneracy of the genetic code in two manners: having more than one tRNA (with a specific anti-codon) for a particular amino acid; and 'wobble' base-pairing, i.e. permitting non-standard base-pairing at the 3rd anti-codon position.
Source: RNAcentral
GCGGAAAUAGCUCAGCGAUAGAGCGCUUCCUUGCCAAGGAAGAGGUCGCGGGUUUGAUCCCCGUUUUCCGCU